RNAcentral lists this transfer RNA (75 nucleotides) under Companilactobacillus alimentarius. Its description in RNAcentral is "tRNA-His". It matches the Rfam family "tRNA". Rfam says of the family: Transfer RNA (tRNA) molecules are approximately 80 nucleotides in length. Their secondary structure includes four short double-helical elements and three loops (D, anti-codon, and T loops). RNAcentral also lists the same sequence under 1 other name. Lineage: Bacteria; Bacillati; Bacillota; Bacilli; Lactobacillales; Lactobacillaceae. The record is from RNAcentral.
GGCGGUAUUGGUGAAGUGGUUAACACAUCGGUUUGUGGUACCGACACACGUGAGUUCGAUUCUCACAUACCGCCU